This is a small nucleolar RNA of Myotis lucifugus (little brown bat), 128 nucleotides long. Lineage: Eukaryota; Metazoa; Chordata; Mammalia; Chiroptera; Vespertilionidae. The record is from Ensembl.
CUUAAAAAUUAUAUUUGGUUUUGCUGAUGACCCACUGAGCCGUCAAGAAAGGGCAAAGGAAAAACACCGCUUUUGGGUGAGGCAGCAGCGUGUUGUGCUGCUUUGCUUCAAUCGGUGGUGUGACAGGU